This 465-nucleotide ribosomal RNA is filed under the name uncultured bacterium. Its description in RNAcentral is "partial 16S ribosomal RNA". It matches the Rfam family "Bacterial small subunit ribosomal RNA", at positions 338 to 795 of the family's 1533-position model. The record is from RNAcentral.
CCUACGGGUGGCAGCAGUAGGGAAUCUUCCACAAUGGGCGAAAGCCUGAUGGAGCAACGCCGCGUGGGUGAAGAAGGUCUUCGGAUCGUAAAACCCUGUUGUCAGAGAAGAAAGUGCGUGAGAGUAACUGUUCACGUUUCGACGGUAUCUAACCAGGAAGCCACGGCUAACUACGUGCCAGCAGCCGCGGUAAUACGGGGGGGGCAAGCGUUAUCCGGAAUUAUUGGGCGUAAAGGGAACGCAGGCGGUCUUUUAAGUCAGAUGUGAAAGCCUUGGGCUUAACGGGAGUAGUGCAUUGGAAACUGGGAGACUGGAGUGAAGAAGAGGAGAGUGGAACUCCAGGUGUAGCGGUGAAAUGCGUAGAUAUGUGGAAGAACACCAGUGGCGAAGGCGGCUCUCUGGUCUGUAACUGACGCUGAGGUUCGAAAGCGUGGGUAGCAAACAGGAUUAGAUACCCUUGUAGUC